ACAAUUAAAAUCUUACUUUUCUUUUUAUUAAUUAUUUUUGAGAAAUAUCUUUUUAUUUAGUAUACUAAAGAAAAAUUUUUUUUUGUUAUAGUAUAAUAGUACUGUGAAGGAAUUGAUGAAAUAAUUUAAAUAUUUAUUUAUAUAUAAGUAUACUUAAAUUGUAGUACCUUUUGUAUCAGGGUUAAUCAAUAAUAUUAAUUUAUAUUGCUUUCUCGAUUCCAAUAGAGCUAAUUUAAUGUUUUAGUUAAUGUAACAUAAUUAUUAAAAACAUUAAAUUAGUGGAGACAUUCCAUUCGAUUUUGGAGGUAUCUAGUUUUUUUAAGAAUUAAAUUUAAUUUAGUUCUAUUAAUUAUUUUAUACAUUUUUUUUAUAAAAUAUUUAUUAGAAGAAGAAUUAUAGGGGAUAAGCUCUAUAUUAUUCUAAAAAUUGUCUGUUGCAAUGAUUUUUGUAGGGUUAAAACUAUCCAUCAUUAAUAAGUUUGUUAUAAUUUAUUUAAAAAUUAAAUUGAUUUUAUUAUUUUUAGCAUUCUAUUAAAAUACUAAGAUGAAUUUUUAUUUUAGGAAAUAAUGAUUAAAUUAGUAUAAUAAAUUGUUUAUAUAAUUUCAAUUAUAUAUGAUAAAAUAAGGAACUCGGCAAAUAUAGUUCUCGCCUGUUUAACAAAAACAUGUCCUUUUGAAUUUAAUUGAAGGUCUGACCUGCCCAGUGAUAAUUUUAACGGCCGCGGUAUACUGACCGUGCAAAGGUAGCAUAAUCAUUAGUCUUUUAAUAGAGGGCUGGAAUGAAAGGUUUAACGAGGAAUUAGCUGUCUCAUUUUAUUUGUUUUAAAAUUUAAUUUUUUAGUCAAAAAGCUAAAAUUUGAUUGGUAGACGAGAAGACCCUAUAGAUCUUUAUAAAUAUUUAAUUAAUUAUCUUUAUAUAAUAACAAUUAUUUAAAUAUUUAUUUUGUUGGGGAGACAAAAAUAUAUAAACAACUUUUUUAUUUAAUUUACAUUGAUUUAUGAAUUUUAGAUCCAUUAUUAUUGAUUGGUAGACUAAGUUACCUUAGGGAUAACAGCGUAAUCCUCUUCCAGAGUUCAUAUUUACAAGAGGGUUUGCGACCUCGAUGUUGGAUUAAGAUAAUAACUAGGUGUAGCCGCUUAGUUUAUAGGUCUGUUCGACCUUUAAACUCUUAACA
RNAcentral lists this ribosomal RNA (1174 nucleotides) under Philonomon luminans. RNAcentral's name for it is "partial 16S ribosomal RNA". The record is from RNAcentral. Lineage: Eukaryota; Metazoa; Arthropoda; Insecta; Odonata; Libellulidae.